GAUGAACGCUGGCGGCGUGCCUAAUACAUGCAAGUCGAGCGAACGGACGAGAAGCUUGCUUCUCUGAUGUUAGCGGCGGACGGGUGAGUAACACGUGGAUAACCUACCUAUAAGACUGGGAUAACUUCGGGAAACCGGAGCUAAUACCGGAUGAUAUUUUGAACCGCAUGGUUCAAAAGUGAAAGACGGUCUUGCUGUCACUUAUAGAUGGAUCCGCGCUGCAUUAGCUAGUUGGUAAGGUAACGGCUUACCAAGGCAACGAUGCAUAGCCGACCUGAGAGGGUGAUCGGCCACACUGGAACUGAGACACGGUCCAGACUCCUACGGGAGGCAGCAGUAGGGAAUCUUCCGCAAUGGGCGAAAGCCUGACGGAGCAACGCCGCGUGAGUGAUGAAGGUCUUCGGAUCGUAAAACUCUGUUAUUAGGGAAGAACAUAUGUGUAAGUAACUGUGCACAUCUUGACGGUACCUAAUCAGAAAGCCACGGCUAACUACGUGCCAGCAGCCGCGGUAAUACGUAGGUGGCAAGCGUUAUCCGGAAUUAUUGGGCGUAAAGCGCGCGUAGGCGGUUUUUUAGUCUGAUGUGAAAGCCCACGGCUCAACCGUGGAGGGUCAUUGGAAACUGGAAAACUUGAGUGCAGAAGAGGAAGGUGGAAUUCCAUGUGUAGCGGUGAAAUGCGCAGAGAUAUGGAGGAACACCAGUGGCGAAGGCGACUUUCUGGUCUGUAACUGACGCUGAUGUGCGAAAGCGUGGGGAUCAAACAGGAUUAGAUACCCUGGUAGUCCACGCCGUAAACGAUGAGUGCUAAGUGUUAGGGGGUUUCCGCCCCUUAGUGCUGCAGCUAACGCAUUAAGCACUCCGCCUGGGGAGUACGACCGCAAGGUUGAAACUCAAAGGAAUUGACGGGGACCCGCACAAGCGGUGGAGCAUGUGGUUUAAUUCGAAGCAACGCGAAGAACCUUACCAAAUCUUGACAUCCUUUGACAACUCUAGAGAUAGAGCCUUCCCCUUCGGGGGACAAAGUGACAGGUGGUGCAUGGUUGUCGUCAGCUCGUGUCGUGAGAUGUUGGGUUAAGUCCCGCAACGAGCGCAACCCUUAAGCUUAGUUGCCAUCAUUAAGUUGGGCACUCUAAGUUGACUGCCGGUGACAAACCGGAGGAAGGUGGGGAUGACGUCAAAUCAUCAUGCCCCUUAUGAUUUGGGCUACACACGUGCUACAAUGGACAAUACAAAGGGCAGCGAAACCGCGAGGUCAAGCAAAUCCCAUAAAGUUGUUCUCAGUUCGGAUUGUAGUCUGCAACUCGACUACAUGAAGCUGGAAUCGCUAGUAAUCGUAGAUCAGCAUGCUACGGUGAAUACGUUCCCGGGUCU
Molecule: ribosomal RNA, 1371 nt
Filed under: uncultured bacterium
Lineage: Bacteria
Description: bacterial SSU rRNA
Rfam family: Bacterial small subunit ribosomal RNA
Source: RNAcentral